Molecule: ribosomal RNA, 468 nt
Filed under: uncultured bacterium
Lineage: Bacteria
Description: partial 16S ribosomal RNA
Rfam family: Bacterial small subunit ribosomal RNA
Source: RNAcentral
GACGAACGCUGGCGGCGUGCUUAACACAUGCAAGUCGAACGGAAAGGCCAUGCAUCUGGGGGGUGCUCGAGCGGCGAACGGGUGAGUAACACGUGAGUAACCUGCCCUUGACUUUGGGAGAACUUCAGGAAACUGGGGCUACUACCGGAUCGGAGCUCCUGCUGAAUGGUGGGGGUUGGAAAGUUUCGGCGGUUGGGGAUGGUCUCGCGGCUGAUCAGCGUGCUGGUGGGGUAGUGGCUCACCAAGGCGUUGACUGGUAGCCGGCCUGUGAGGGUGACCGGCCACCUUGGGCCUGCGAUACGGCCCAGACUCCUACGGUGGGCAGCAGGGGGGAAUAUUGCACAAUGGGCCGACGCCUAAGGCAGCAACGCCGCGUGCGGGAUGACCGCCUUCGGGUGGUAAACCGCUUUCGCCUGUGACGAAGCGUGAGUGACGUUAAUGGGUAAAGAAGCACCGGCUAACUACGUG